Molecule: transfer RNA, 82 nt
Filed under: Micrococcaceae bacterium
Lineage: Bacteria; Bacillati; Actinomycetota; Actinomycetes; Micrococcales; Micrococcaceae
Also listed under: 5 other names
Description: tRNA-Leu
Rfam family: tRNA
About the family: Transfer RNA (tRNA) molecules are approximately 80 nucleotides in length. Their secondary structure includes four short double-helical elements and three loops (D, anti-codon, and T loops).
Source: RNAcentral
GCGCGAGUGGUGAAAUUGGCAGACACGCAGGAUUUAGGUUCCUGUACCUUCGGGUGUGCGGGUUCAAGUCCCGCCUCGCGCA